Molecule: ribosomal RNA, 601 nt
Filed under: uncultured bacterium
Lineage: Bacteria
Description: bacterial SSU rRNA
Rfam family: Bacterial small subunit ribosomal RNA
Source: RNAcentral
CCUACGGGAGGCAGCAGUGGGGAAUAUUGCACAAUGGGCGCAAGCCUGAUGCAGCGACGCCGCGUGAGGGAUGACGGCCUUCGGGUUGUAAACCUCUUUCAGUAGGGAAGAAGCGUAAGUGACGGUACCUGCAGAAGAAGCGCCGGCUAACUACGUGCCAGCAGCCGCGGUAAUACGUAGGGCGCAAGCGUUAUCCGGAAUUAUUGGGCGUAAAGAGCUCGUAGGCGGUUUGUCGCGUCUGCCGUGAAAGUCCGGGGCUCAACUCCGGAUCUGCGGUGGGUACGGGCAGACUAGAGUGAUGUAGGGGAGACUGGAAUUCCUGGUGUAGCGGUGAAAUGCGCAGAUAUCAGGAGGAACACCGAUGGCGAAGGCAGGUCUCUGGGCAUUAACUGACGCUGAGGAGCGAAAGCAUGGGGAGCGAACAGGAUUAGAUACCCUGGUAGUCCAUGCCGUAAACGUUGGGCACUAGGUGUGGGGGACAUUCCACGUUUUCCGCGCCGUAGCUAACGCAUUAAGUGCCCCGCCUGGGGAGUACGGCCGCAAGGCUAAAACUCAAAGAUAGUACGGCGUGNGAGNGCGACGACGACGACGACGGAGGAGG